Molecule: ribosomal RNA, 497 nt
Filed under: uncultured bacterium
Lineage: Bacteria
Description: partial 16S ribosomal RNA
Rfam family: Bacterial small subunit ribosomal RNA
Source: RNAcentral
GAUGAACGCUGGCGGCGUGCCUAAUACAUGCAAGUCGAGCGAACGGACGAGAAGCUUGCUUCUCUGAUGUUAGCGGCGGACGGGUGAGUAACACGUGGAUAACCUACCUAUAAGACUGGGAUAACUUCGGGAAACCGGAGCUAAUACCGGAUAAUAUUUUGAACCGCAUGGUUCAAAAGUGAAAGACGGUCUUGCUGUCACUUAUAGAUGGAUCCGCGCUGCAUUAGCUAGUUGGUAAGGUAACGGCUUACCAAGGCAACGAUGCAUAGCCGACCUGAGAGAGUGAUCGGCCACCCUGGAACGGAGACACGGUCCAGACUCCUACGGGAGGCAGCAGUAGGGAAUCUUCCGCAAUGGUCGAAAGCCUGACGGAGCAACGCCGCGUGAGUGAUGACGGUCUUCGGAUCGUAAAACUCUGUUAUUAGGGAAGAACAUAUGUGUAAGUAACUGUGCACAUCUUGACGGUACCUAAUCAGAAAGCCACGGCUAACUACGUG